CACCGUUUGUGUUUCUAAAAAUCUGUUGUAAAACGCACGAUCUAAUGAACCACACCUAUACGUGUAGAAACUAUUGGAUUUAAAACCUUCUGAUACAGAUAGUAGGUAUAUAAAUGUAUAAUAGUAUAAUACUCCGAGAAAUUCGCGGUGUAAAUAUAUUGUGCUCAGACAAGACUGCAAUUUAUAUUCAAAAACCAACGACGGCAAUUUUAUGUAAUUCGGACACACC
Cinara cedri is the source of this 229-nucleotide non-coding RNA. Lineage: Eukaryota; Metazoa; Arthropoda; Insecta; Hemiptera; Aphididae. The record is from the annotation of a GenBank genome assembly.